This 301-nucleotide ribosomal RNA is filed under the name uncultured bacterium. RNAcentral's name for it is "partial 16S ribosomal RNA". It matches the Rfam family "Bacterial small subunit ribosomal RNA", at positions 509 to 808 of the family's 1533-position model. The record is from RNAcentral.
CAGUCGCCACGGGAAAACGUAUGUCACAAGCGUUAUCCGGAUUUAUUGGGCGUAAAGCGCGUCUAGGUGGUUAUGUAAGUCUGAUGUGAAAAUGCAGGGCUCAACUCUGUAUUGCGUUGGAAACUGUGUAACUAGAGUACUGGAGAGGUAAGCGGAACUACAAGUGUAGAGGUGAAGUUCGUAGAUAUUUGUAGGAAUGCCGAUGGGGAAGCCAGCUUACUGGACAGAUACUGACGCUAAAGCGCGAAAGCGUGGGUAGCAAACAGGAUUAGAGACCCCUGUAGUCCCUGUCUCUUAUACA